This 73-nucleotide transfer RNA is filed under the name Camelus dromedarius (Arabian camel). It matches the Rfam family "tRNA". Rfam says of the family: Transfer RNA (tRNA) molecules are approximately 80 nucleotides in length. Their secondary structure includes four short double-helical elements and three loops (D, anti-codon, and T loops). The record is from Rfam by way of RNAcentral. Lineage: Eukaryota; Metazoa; Chordata; Mammalia; Artiodactyla; Camelidae. RNAcentral also lists the same sequence under 1 other name.
GAACAUGUAGUCCAGUAGGCAGAGCACAUGCCUAGCAUGCAUGAGGUCCUGGGUUCAAUCCCCAGCGCCUCCA